This 243-nucleotide ribosomal RNA is filed under the name uncultured bacterium. RNAcentral describes it as "partial 16S ribosomal RNA". It matches the Rfam family "Bacterial small subunit ribosomal RNA", at positions 532 to 774 of the family's 1533-position model. The record is from RNAcentral.
UGGCAAGCGUUGUCCGGAUUUAUUGGGCGUAAAGCGAGCGCAGGCGGGUGCUUAGGUCUGAUGUGAAAGCCUUCGGCUCAACCGGAGAAUUGCAUCAGAAACUGUUGAACUUGAGUGCAGAAGAGGAGAGAGGAACUCCAUGUGUAGCGGUGGAAUGCGUAGAUAUAUGGAAGAACACCAGUGGCGAAGGCGGCUCUCUGGUCUGUAACUGACGCUGAGGCUCGAAAGCAUGGGUAGCGAACA